RNAcentral lists this ribosomal RNA (600 nucleotides) under uncultured bacterium. RNAcentral's name for it is "bacterial SSU rRNA". It matches the Rfam family "Bacterial small subunit ribosomal RNA", at positions 92 to 713 of the family's 1533-position model. The record is from RNAcentral.
CGAGCGGCGGACGGGUAGUAAUGUUCGGAAACUGCCUGAUGAGGGGGAUAACUACUGGAAACGGUAGCUAAUACCGCAUAACGUCGCAAGACCAAAGAGGGACUUCGGCCUCUUGCCAUCAGAUUGCCAGAUGGAUUAGCUAUAGUGGGUACGGCUCACUAGGCGACGAUCCCUAGCUGGUCUGAGAGGAUGACCAGCCACACUGGAACUGAGACACGGUCCAGACUCCUACGGGAGGCAGCAGUGGGGAAUAUUGCACAAUGGGCGCAAGCCUGAUGCAGCCAUGCCGCGUGUAUAAAGAAGGCCUUCGGGUUGUAAAGUACUUUCAGCGGGGAGGAAGGUGUUGUGGUUAUACCACAGAAUUGACGUUACCCGAAAAAAAGCACGGUACUCGUGCAGCAGCCGGGUAAUACGGAGGGUGCAAGCGUAAUCGGAAUUACUGGGGUAAAGGGCACGGCAGGCGGUCUGUCAAGUCGGAUUUAAAUCCCCGGAUUCAACCUUGGGAACUGGUUUCGAAAUUGGAGGUUAAAGUCUUGUAAAGGGGGGUAAAAUCCCGGGUUUUAGGGUAAAAUUGGUUUAAAAAUUUGGGGGAAUACCGGG